RNAcentral lists this ribosomal RNA (439 nucleotides) under uncultured bacterium. Its description in RNAcentral is "partial 16S ribosomal RNA". It matches the Rfam family "Bacterial small subunit ribosomal RNA", at positions 338 to 795 of the family's 1533-position model. The record is from RNAcentral.
CCUACGGGUGGCAGCAGUGGGGAAUUUUGCACAAUGGGGGAAACCCUGACGCAGCAACGCCGCGUGCGGGACGAAGGCCCUCGGGUCGUAAACCGCUUUCAGCAGCGAAGACCACGACGGUAACUGCAGAAUAAGCACCGGCUAACUACGUGCCAGCAGCCGCGGUAAUACGUAGGGGGCGAGCGUUAUCCGGAUUCAUUGGGCGUAAAGCGCGCGGAGGCGGGCGCCGAAGCGGAACCGCUAACGCCGGGGCUACACCUCGUGCCGGGUUCCGGACUGGGCGGCUCGAGGGCGGUAGGGGAGAGAGGAAUUCCCGGUGUAGCAGUGGAAUGCGAAGAUAUCGGGAAGAACACCGAUGGCGAAGGCAGCUUUCUGGGCCGGUACUGACGCUGAGGCGCGAAAGCUGGGGGAGCGAACAGGAUUAGAUACCCCUGUAGUC